This 253-nucleotide ribosomal RNA is filed under the name uncultured bacterium. RNAcentral's name for it is "partial 16S ribosomal RNA". It matches the Rfam family "Bacterial small subunit ribosomal RNA", at positions 524 to 776 of the family's 1533-position model. The record is from RNAcentral.
UACAGAGGUCUCAAGCGUUGUUCGGAAUUACUGGGCGUAAAGCGUGCGCAGGCGGUUUGCUAAGUCAGGUGUGAAAUCCCCGGGCUUAACCUGGGAACUGCGCUUGUUACUGGCAAGCUGGAGUGUGGCAGAGGGGGGUGGAAUUCCACGUGUAGCAGUGAAAUGCGUAGAGAUGUGGAGGAACACCGAUGGCGAAGGCAGCCCCCUGGGCUAACACUGACGCUCAUGCACGAAAGCGUGGGGAGCAAACAGG